This is a non-coding RNA of Schizosaccharomyces pombe (fission yeast), 3570 nucleotides long. NCBI's taxonomy places the organism in Eukaryota, Fungi, Ascomycota, Schizosaccharomycetes, Schizosaccharomycetales, Schizosaccharomycetaceae. The record is from the annotation of a GenBank genome assembly.
CUACUUUCAAAACUGUGUAAAGUCCUUAAAGAGCCGAAUUUUUCCUUUUUCGGCAAAAACGCUUCACAGUCGUUUCUCAUUGAAUCCAUGCUUAUCCUAGACUUAUUCCCCAGACUUACUGAAUCGGUUGAAACAUUGUCAUCAAAAUGCAAGGAAUCGUCUUCUGUAUGAAUAACUUGUACGAUUUCGCUUGAAUUCUCAGUAGUGAUAUUAUCAUUUUCAGUACUGUUCAUACAUGAACAUUGUUCAGGGUCCUGGACUUCAAUAUCGUUGGCCGGAAUCUCAAUUGUUUCCUCUAAAGUAGUUAAAUUUUCAUCCUCUUUUACUUCCUUGAUGUCUUCCAGCUCAUCCUUCUCGAUAUCAUCUUGACGAGUUUCUUCAACUUCAUCUUGUAAGAUGGAGUUUUCUGCUUGCACUUCAUCAUCUACAGCGUUCGUCUCGGUCAUAGAGAUGUCCUGAGAUAUAUCGAUGUUUUCUUCAGCUUCAUCGAUUAGCUCAGUAACCUUGUCAGGCUUCUCAACGAACCCAAUUGCAGUCUGAUUAAUACCUUCGCAUGCAUUGACCAUAUCAAGGGAGGAAUUUUUGUCGUUCAUUUGUCCUUCAUAUACUUUGUUUUCACAGUCAUCAGUUGUAGUAGAUUGUUCCACCACGACAGAUUCUAGAACAUCAUUCUGGUUGUUGUUUGCUUCAUCAACGGCUUCUUUUCCAAGAUCAUUUUCUUCACUGCCUUUGUCAAUAUUAUCAGAAUGCUCUACCUCAACAGGUAUGGUUAAAGUAUUUUCAAUCUCGUCAUUCACAUCAGUAGACUGGGUCAUUUCAACUGUACUGAGGAUGCCGCCAAUAAGAGAUUUGUCAUCUUUCUCAGACGGCUGAUAAUCCUUUUCAGCUUCUUCUACAUUGCUGUUUUCAUUGAUCGGUUGUUCUAACUUCACGGGUUCUGAGGUUAUGACUUCUUCAUCAGUUGUAUCAGGGACAACGACGUCAGCACCCGUUUGAACAGGAAGGCUACAGUCAACUGGAAAGUUUUCUGAAUUUAUAGUUAAUUCAGCUUGCGCUGGUUUCUCGCUACCGUCAAGUAGGACAUCACUGCUCAAGCUCUCCUUCCUCAAACGCGGUUCAUUAUCAGGGGUGCUAAGACUAUUCCCUUGUUCAUUUUUGUUAGUUUCAGACCCAUCUGUAGAAGUCGAAUUUUCAAAUUCUUCGUUAAUGUUUUGCUUAGGUGCUGGUUGAGUCUCGGAGAUGGUUUUCCUGUCAUCAUCGGAGGAAUAGGAAGGACUAGAAAUUUCAGAAAUUUCAUCCUCUAACUGCAAAUUUUGUUGAGUGUAUGGUCCCAUUAAUGGCAUACCAAAAUCAAAUGAAUUCUCCAAAUUGAGGCUUGCAAAUAUAUUCUCCAUUUGCAAUUGCUUUAGCGUAAGGUUGCUUACAGUAGCAGAGUUCUUCUCCUGAACUUCUUUUUCCAUUUCCAAAGUUGUAACGCGAGAUUGUAAUAACUCAUUUUCUCUUGUCAAAGCCUCUAAUCUGUUCUGCAAUGCAUUGUUCUGCUUUAUUGCAUAAUCGGAAUCGGGAUCAUCAGGCUGGGAAUUCAUAGCCUUUACAACUUCAAGCUCAGCACGUAAGGCAACCAUCUCGUCGUUCAAAUUUCUAACCUGGUCUUUCGCAUAAUGAUGUGCCUUUAUUUGUUGCUCAAAUUGCAGUUUGACAUGAGAAAUCUGAGACAACAGAUCCUUUUCUAUAAGCUUGGCAGCUUUUUUCUCAUUUUCCAAUUGCUGGAUAUUAGACUCCAAUUGCAACAAGGACUGCUGUUGCUGAUACUUUUCAGAAAGAUAUACUGAACACUGGGCACAAAGUGUAUUCGCCUUAUCUUUACUCAGGUUGGAGGUAUCCGAAUGGUCAUCUGCUAGAGAUGAAUCAUACGUACAAGGCAUUGUUUCUUUAGGUUUAUCGUUAUUUUCAGCGGCCUCAGAAAACCCUUCCCUAUGAAGGCGAGCCAUAUGUUUACUCUGCUCUUCAAUGAUAUCUUGAAGCUCCUUAAGCUUUUUCGUAUUUUCAUCUCGGACACUUGCUAGAAGUUCAUUGCUUGAAGCAAGCUCUUUCUUUUGUGUUUGGUAUAAUGACAAUAGAUGGUGCAGAAGAAAGCAAAAUGAUUCAAUGUCAAAAUCAGAUUUCAAAUGUUUAUCGAGUUCAUCAUCAGGAAGUGCAUUACUCUUCUCUGGCGUAUCAUUGUCGCCGCGAAACAGCUCAGUAAGUAACCGCCAAAAGUUCACAAUAGCGCGAGGAGCAAUAUCUUUCGCAUCAGCAUCUUCCUCCAACUUUUUCUCGUAUAUUUGUUUCAAAAUAAGCUCUAAGUGACGAACUUGCUCGAGUAGCCGUUCACCAGCGUUCAUUUGUACUGCAUCUAGGACAGAUGGUUCACGAAUUGAAUUACCCAUUGAUUGAGCAAUUUCCAGUAUACGGCUCAUACGCUCUACAAGCUGCUCAAUUUCCUCAUUGUUCAUUAUUUCUUCAUCUCGAAAUCCAGUUGCGCUCUCAUCAGCGGUGAUGGCAGAAACCGGUGAAGAUACCUUGCUACAGCUACCUGGUUUAAGCUCAGCAAUGCACACAGCAACCAUAUGCUUCAAUAGGUGCAUAUAAAAUUCUGCAAGUUUCCUUUCAAUAAGCCAUAUCUUAGAAGAAAGUUCUCUAACUCUACGAGAACAUUGUUCGUAAUGCUCUAUCGUACUUUGUUUAUGUUUUCCUUUUUUCUCCUUAGCUUGGGCAACCAUCAAAUUCUUAGCAGCUUCUCUAAUUUUGGCUUCGACAGCCAGUUUUUUUAUAGAAACACCAAGUAAUCCCUGCAGGUUUUUUAUUUUCUGUUUUAUUUCUUCAACGUCUUUUCCGGAAAGGUACACCCAACCUUUUGCAUCUUUAACAGCAGACGCAACUAAAAGGGUUCGCAUUUCCUCCUCACCUGUAGAUAUAGACACAUCUUCAGAACUGCUAGCCUUUCCUACAUACACGAAAGUGGAUAAAAAUGGAUUGACUGGUCGUGUAUUAAUUAAUAUGCUUGAAGAAGGUGGUUCAGGAUUCCCAUAUUUCUCAAUUAACUCAGGUUCAUAUUCAUCUGUACUUAAACAUCCAUGAAACCCCAUUUUUGGGUAAAAUGGGUAAAUGUAAAUGUUGAAUCUUUUGUUUGUUUACAGCCGCAUACGCUUUAUUUUGUAUGAAUUUCGUUUCCAUGACAACUAACAUUGAAAUGUAAAUAAACAAAGCACCUAAGCCAACCUAUUAUCACGUUGCAAUGAUCGGUCGCUAAGCAUUUCAUUCUCCAGAUUAUACGACUAUUAAAGUCCCUUUGCAAUUUUAGGUUUGUGUAUCGGUGGGCUCUGCUGUUUGUUAUUUAUCGACGUUGAACCGGUAUUUUGAUCAACAUUCAUUAUGGUGUUUGCAAAUAAUCCACAUUACUUUUUAUAUGUUAAAAGAUUAUUUAGAGCAUACUUUAACGGUCCUACACUUACAUUUAUUACCCUAUGUGACGAAUUCGACCUACACAUUUUUACUUAGACCACCUCAAAAAAAGUGAUAAUAUUUUCA